RNAcentral lists this long non-coding RNA (405 nucleotides) under Rattus norvegicus (Norway rat). RNAcentral's name for it is "long non-coding RNA NONRATT012295". Lineage: Eukaryota; Metazoa; Chordata; Mammalia; Rodentia; Muridae. The record is from RNAcentral.
GCUUACCCUCCCAGCAGCUGCUGCCCCGACCGCCACACCUCUCUGUAGAGGAGCACCGAGCUUCAGAAGCUCCUGCCGGCAGGAGCCCCCGAAUGCUGCACCCAGCCACCCAGCAGAGCCCGUUCAUGGUUGAUCUCCACGACCAGGUGCACCAGGGACCUGUCCCUCUGUCCUACACAGUCACCACAGUGACAACCCAAGGCUUCCCUUUGCCUGCAAGCCAACAUAUCCCUGGCUGCAGUGCCCAGCAGCUCCCAGCAUGCUCCGUGAUGUUCAGUGGGCAGCACUACCCCCUCUGCUGCCUCCCGCCUCCGCUGAUCCAGGCGUGCACCAUGCAGCAGCUCCCCGUGCCCUACCACACCUACCCCCACCUCAUCUCCAGUGACCACUACAUCCUUCACCCCC